This 446-nucleotide ribosomal RNA is filed under the name uncultured bacterium. RNAcentral describes it as "bacterial SSU rRNA". It matches the Rfam family "Bacterial small subunit ribosomal RNA", at positions 330 to 793 of the family's 1533-position model. The record is from RNAcentral.
CCCAGACUCCUACGGGAGGCAGCAGUAGGGAAUCUUUCACAAUGGGCGAAAGCCUGAUGGAGCAACGCCGCGUGCAGGAUGAAGGCCUUCGGGUUGUAAACUGCUUUUAUAAGCGAGAAAUAUGAUGGUAACUUAUGAAUAAGGAUCGGCUAACUACGUGCCAGCAGCCGCGGUAAUACGUAGGGAGCAAGCGUUAUCCGGAAUUAUUGGGUGUAAAGGGUGCGUAGACGGGACAGCAAGUUAGUUGUGAAAGCCCUCGGCUUAACUGAGGAACUGCAACUAAAACUAUUGUUCUUGAGUGCAGGAGAGGAAAGCGGAAUUCCUAGUGUAGCGGUGAAAUGCGUAGAUAUUAGGAGGAACACCAGUGGCGAAGGCGGCUUUCUGGACUGUAACUGACGUUGAGGCACGAAAGUGUGGGGAGCAAACAGGAUUAGAUACCCUCGUAC